Long non-coding RNA from Fukomys damarensis (Damara mole-rat), 161 nucleotides. RefSeq lists it as uncharacterized. The record is from RefSeq and is a predicted model, not a curated record. Lineage: Eukaryota; Metazoa; Chordata; Mammalia; Rodentia; Bathyergidae. The transcript has 2 exons.
CCCUGUUCUCCACGUGAAAUCCAGUCUUUGCUCCCCUACCGUCGGUAGCAUUAAUGGAGUGGCCACCGUUAUUGGAGCCCUCCACUCCAGCCCUUGCCUGGCCCUGCAUCACCUAGUGACUAUUGACUGCAUUGUUUAGAAAAGGAAAGGAAGAGAAGAAG